CCCCUAGAUGUUCUGGGCCGCACGCGCGCUACACUGAACAGUUCAACAAGUCUUAACCUUGGCCGAUAGGUCUGGGUAAUCUUUGAACGCUGUUCGUGAUUGGGAUAGACCUUUGCAAUUAUGGGUCGUCAACGAGGAAUUCCUAGUAAACGCAAGUCAUCAGCUUGCAUUGAUUACGUCCCUGCCCUUUGUACACACCGCCCGUCGCACCUACCGAUUGAAUGGUCCGGUGAAAUCUCGGGACGGCGGCUUGGUCGCUUGCGUCCGACUGCUGAAACUUGAUUAAACCAUAUCAUUUAGAGGAAGGUGAANUCGUANCA
Molecule: ribosomal RNA, 320 nt
Filed under: uncultured eukaryote
Lineage: Eukaryota
Description: partial 18S ribosomal RNA
Rfam family: Eukaryotic small subunit ribosomal RNA
Source: RNAcentral